GGGAAGGUGGCUCAGUGGUAGAGUGCUUGUCUUGCAUGCAUGAGGCCCUAGGUUCAAUUCCCCUGCACC
Non-coding RNA from Dipodomys ordii (Ord's kangaroo rat), 69 nucleotides. Lineage: Eukaryota; Metazoa; Chordata; Mammalia; Rodentia; Heteromyidae. The record is from Rfam.